CAGUGUUACAGCUCUUGUAGAAUUUGUCUAGCAGGCUUUCUGGCUUUGAAAGCCCCC
This is a small nuclear RNA of Callithrix jacchus (white-tufted-ear marmoset), 57 nucleotides long. Its record names the gene U7. It matches the Rfam family "U7 small nuclear RNA". Rfam says of the family: Animal histone pre-mRNAs are spliced by a different mechanism than nuclear pre-mRNAs and self-splicing introns. This processing involves the U7 snRNP, which contains only one RNA species: U7. The record is from Ensembl. Lineage: Eukaryota; Metazoa; Chordata; Mammalia; Primates; Cebidae.